RNAcentral lists this ribosomal RNA (497 nucleotides) under uncultured bacterium. RNAcentral's name for it is "partial 16S ribosomal RNA". It matches the Rfam family "Bacterial small subunit ribosomal RNA", at positions 28 to 507 of the family's 1533-position model. The record is from RNAcentral.
GAUGAACGCUGGCGGCGUGCCUAAUACAUGCAAGUCGAACGAACAGACGCGGAGCUUGCGCCGUUGACGUUAGCGGCGGACGGGUGAGUAACACGUGGAUAACCUACCUGUCAGACUGGUAUCACUUCGGGAAACCGGCGCUAAUACCGGAUAAUAUAUUGAACCGCAUGGUUCAAUAGUGAAAGUCGGUUUUGCUGUCACUUAUAGAUGGAUCCGCGCCGCAUUAGCUAGUUGGUACGGUAACGGCUUAUCAAGGCGACGAUGCGUAGCCGAGGUGAGAGGGUGAUCGGCCACACUGGAACUGAGACACGGUCCAGACUCCUACGAGAGGCAGCAGUAGGGAAUCUUACGCAAAGGGCGAAAGCCUGACGGAGCAACGCCGCGUGAGUGAUGAAGGUCUUCGGAUCGUAAAAAUCUGUUAUUAGGGAAGAACAAAUGUCUAAGUAGCUAUGCACGUCUUGACGGUACCGAAUCAGAAAGCAACGGCUAACUACGUG